GAUGAACGCUGGGGGCGUGCCUAAUACAUGCAAGUCGAGCGAACAGACGAGGAGCUUGCUCCUCUGACGUUAGCGGCGGACGGGUGAGUAACACGUGGAUAACCUACCUAUAAGACUGGGAUAACUUCGGGAAACCGGAGCUAAUACCGGAUAAUAUAUUGAACCGCAUGGUUCAAUAGUGAAAGACGGUUUUGCUGUCACUUAUAGAUGGAUCCGCGCCGCAUUAGCUAGUUGGUAAGGUAACGGCUUACCAAGGCGACGAUGCGUAGCCGACCUGAGAGGGUGAUCGGCCACACUGGAACUGAGACACGGUCCAGACUCCUACGGGAGGCAGCAGUAGGGAAUCUUCCGCAAUGGGCGAAAGCUUGACGGAGCAACGCCGCGUGAGUGAUGAAGGUCUUCGGAUCGUAAAACUCUGUUAUUAGGGAAGAACAAAUGUGUAAGUAACUAUGCACGUCUUGACGGUACCUAAUCAGAAAGCCACGGCUAACUACGUG
RNAcentral lists this ribosomal RNA (497 nucleotides) under uncultured bacterium. Its description in RNAcentral is "partial 16S ribosomal RNA". It matches the Rfam family "Bacterial small subunit ribosomal RNA", at positions 28 to 507 of the family's 1533-position model. The record is from RNAcentral.